GGGCUUUUUUGUUUCUUUUUUUUUAAAAAAAAACCGUACAUCACAAAUUCACAAAAAUAUUUAAACUUUAAUCAAUCAUUCUCUCCUGUCUCCACUUUCUUUCUAGGGAAAGUUCAAUUGCUAUAACAUAUUACAAUUUACAUACAAUGAUUGAUAAAUAAUAAAGUACACAAAUUCAAACCAAGACAGCAAGACUAUUCAUUUCAUUUGACAUGUCACCAUCAACAAACAUAAGCUUCAAAUGCAUACUUGCAAUCCCAUCUGCUGGCUAGUGAAAGAAUGGCUUGACAUCCUGUGCAAAAAGAUUCAUAAAUGUAUCAUUAUAUAUGGACCAUCUUAUAAUUGAUUCAUCCAUUUAGCCACAAUCAACAAAAUAAAGCUAAUAAUACUACCAAGUGUACUGCAAUCUACCAUGAAACUAAUAAUUUAAAUGCAACACUUCUGGAAUGAUGAGACUUUAAAGGCAAAAGUUAGGAUAUGCAAAAUAUAUUUUGACAUUAAUACAAAGUAGACUAGUUUUGGUUACUUACAUAAUUACCUCACCUGAAAUGAGAACAAUAUAUGGUUACUGGAUCAAAAAAAUAGCAUAAUGAAUGAAUGGAGAUAUCAACUGGAGAGUGGAGACCAAAGAAGGCCAUUGCAACAUUAAUGAAUGUAUUUGUGCAGUGUACAUGAUGAAUGUAUUUGUGCAGACAAUGCAGUGUACAUGAUGAAUGUACAGACCAACUGGAGAGUGCAGUGUACAUGAUCAACUUCCAUCAAUGUAAUUUUGUGCAGUGUACAUGAUGUUCCUCAACAUUAAUGAAUGUAUUUGUAAAACUAAUUCAUAGCAGAUCCUGCAAAUGCAACCCCAACCACUGGAAGGAAACUAACAAUAAAAAAUAUGGGGUGAAAAAACACGAAUAUAAAAACAGUACAAGCAUGACAAACUUCCCCCAAACUGUGUUUGAUAAAAAGUCAAAUGAGUCUAAUGACUAAGAUUCAAACCUGUAGGGUCGUGAGCUCAUUCUUAAAAGUACAACUUACACAACUCUUCAAACUUAUGAUUCAUGUAUGUUGUUGGCACCACAUAUAAAUUCAGACAACAAAACGGAUUUUGUCUUGUACAUAGUAUAAUACUAACAUAGUGUCAUAACCCAUUGUGUUAAGUGCACAAGUCUUUGGCACAAAAGUGAAUGAUGCUAAACAAUUUUAUGAUAAUAAUUAAUAAAGUAAUAAACUUCCACCCAAGUCUCAACUGACAUUUUCAUGUUGCAUCUUCCCCUGUACGAGUGCAAGAUGUACUUAAGCUAAAAGCAGGUGGACAAAUGUGCAACCAGUUAAGUGCUAAAGUAAAAUAUAAACAUUAUACGAUUGUGAUGCCUACUCCUAUGUGUAGGUUGAUGUUUGAUGUUUAGGCUUUAUUGCAGUUCCAAUAUUUGCAGACUUGCAUGAUUAUUCCCCUCAAUGAUUGUACUUGUUAAUAAAACUAUCUAAAAAUCUCUAACACGCACAGAGAGAUUAAAGUACCAGUAUAUCUUAUAAAAACAUAUUAAUUAUGUUUAAACUAUCACAUCGUAAAUCUCCGUUCUUAUCUUUCUUUUUAUGCAAAAUAACUGCAGGCUACACUGCAAAUUACCAUUUUUGAAGAGUGAGAAAAUCAACAAUCCUAAAAGAAGAAACUAUGUCAAUCCAUUUCAGUAUUUAACACAGAAAAAGAAUUAUCGCCUCAAGGCCCUCAACUUAAACACUAAAGAAAGAGAGAUUGUUUUGAAAAUUAAUCUUCAACACAUAACAAAGGACACAAAACAGCUCAAUCAAUUCAAUAACUCAAUUUAUUAGAAUAAGUAUAUUCACAAUCAAACUAUAAAUUACAAAAGAUAAUGAUUCCAGAAAUGUAAUUUCAAGGAAUAUCUAAUCUAUAUCUCUAAUUCAUGCAGUUCAUAUACUUGAUUUCAGCCAUUGAACUUAACCCCUGCAACUUCCAAUACUUCAUGUGGAAUUACAAAAUAAAUUAAGAACAUAAAUUAAAAAAAAAACAGAACAAACAAAAUAACAAUAGAAAGAUCAGUAAGAUAAGAGGUUGAAUGCAUCUGAAUAGUGCAUAUAUGUUGGUAUCGAUGCUCACAAAAUAAUGAUACUCAAGAGGCCCGUAACCCCAACAAAAGAUUUCACCCAAUAACAAAAUAGGCGACAGCAGCCAAACCAUAGAACAAAAUCAACUUCAAAACAAGGUAACUCAAACGAAAAACUAAAAAACCAAAAAGUUAAAGACUGAAAAACGAAGAGAAAACGAAGGGAAAAAGGUAGAUCCUUCAAUCAAAAAUGAAAAAGUUAAGCCAUUUAAUCAGUCAAUAGUAACUCAAAAAAACUACUUGUAGAGAAGAAGAAGCUACACAGUCGUCACUCGUCAAUCGGCGACUCGGCGUGGUCGAUCGAUCAAAGUGUGGAUCGUUGUAUCUCACUCUCUCUGUUGAGGACUCUCCGCUCUCUCGGUCUCUCUCUCACUUCUCAGUUUCAGAUCUAGACUAGAUCUGAAAAAUGUCCCUUUUACUUUAUUAGCGAGUCUCGAACAUAGCAUGAUAGACAGAAUAAGGUUUUUUUUAAAAGAUUGGGCGGGCCCGGGCACCCACGGGCGUGUCAUUUUUAGUGGUACAAAACAAUAAAAUUUAUAGUCCAGUUUUUGACGGACUG
This 2673-nucleotide long non-coding RNA is filed under the name Panax ginseng (ginseng). Its description in RNAcentral is "long non-coding RNA (PGIN_LNC017193)". The record is from RNAcentral. Lineage: Eukaryota; Viridiplantae; Streptophyta; Magnoliopsida; Apiales; Araliaceae.